GAUGAAGAACGCAGCGAAAUGCGAUACGUAAUGUGAAUUGCAGAAUUCAGUGAAUCAUCGAAUCUUUGAACGCAUAUUGCGCUCUCUGGUAUUCCGGAGAGCAUGCUUGUUUGAGUAUCAGUAAACACCUCAACUCCCUUUUCUUUUUUGAAAUGGGAGCUGGACUUGAGUGAUCCCAACACUUUUCUCACUGGAAAGUGGCGGGUCACUUGAAAUGCAGGUGCAGCUGGACUUUUCUCUGAGCUAUAAGCAUAUCUAUUUAGUCUGCCUAAAAAACAGAUUAUUACCCUUGCUGCAGCUAACAUAAAGGAGAUGAGUUCUUGUGCUGACUGAUGCAGGAUUCACAGAGACAGCUUUGCGGCUGACUUUGUAAACUCGAUCUCAAAUCAAGUAAGACUACCCGCUGAACUUAAGCAUAUCAAUAAGCGGAGGA
Molecule: unclassified non-coding RNA, 433 nt
Filed under: soil metagenome
Description: partial contains 5.8S ribosomal RNA, internal transcribed spacer 2, and large subunit ribosomal RNA
Rfam family: 5.8S ribosomal RNA (bases 1-120)
Source: RNAcentral